This 459-nucleotide ribosomal RNA is filed under the name uncultured bacterium. RNAcentral's name for it is "partial 16S ribosomal RNA". It matches the Rfam family "Bacterial small subunit ribosomal RNA", at positions 338 to 795 of the family's 1533-position model. The record is from RNAcentral.
CCUACGGGAGGCAGCAGUGAGGAAUAUUGGUCAAUGGCCGAGAGGCUGAACCAGCCAAGUCGCGUGAGGGAAGAAUGUCCUAUGGAUUGUAAACCUCUUUUGUCAGGGAGCAAAGUCACCCACGUGUGGAUGUUGGAGAGUACCUGAAGAAAAAGCAUCGGCUAACUCCGUGCCAGCAGCCGCGGUAAUACGGAGGAUGCGAGCGUUAUCCGGAUUUAUUGGGUUUAAAGGGUGCGUAGGCGGGUUAUCAAGUCAGCGGUAAAAUCGUGGAGCUCAACUCCAUCCAGCCGUUGAAACUGAUGAUCGUGAGUGGGCGAGAAGUAUGCGGAAUGCGUGGUGUAGCGGUGAAAUGCAUAGAUAUCACGCAGAACUCCGAGUGCGAAGGCAGCAUACCGGCGCCCGACUGACGCUGAAGCACGAAAGCGUGGGUAUCGAACAGGAUUAGAUACCCGAGUAGUC